Molecule: small nucleolar RNA, 199 nt
Organism: Spea bombifrons (plains spadefoot toad)
Lineage: Eukaryota; Metazoa; Chordata; Amphibia; Anura; Pelobatidae
Product: small nucleolar RNA SNORA74
Exons: 1
Source: RefSeq, a predicted model, not a curated record
UCCAGCGGUAGUCAGCUGUCCGGUGCGUGUCCGUGCCCGUGACCGUGUUACACUGCUGGCAGAUAAAGGCGCUGCCGUGACGUGCCGAAUGGCGCGGUCGCCGUUUUGGUGAAGUGCCGUCGGUACAAGGCAGCGUCCUGCUUCUGAGAGUGCGCUCGGCGGUCUCCUCCUACUCGGCGCUAGUCUGGAAGCAGACAUC